This 74-nucleotide transfer RNA is filed under the name Mycoplasmataceae bacterium. RNAcentral's name for it is "tRNA-Thr". It matches the Rfam family "tRNA". Rfam says of the family: Transfer RNA (tRNA) molecules are approximately 80 nucleotides in length. Their secondary structure includes four short double-helical elements and three loops (D, anti-codon, and T loops). The record is from RNAcentral. Lineage: Bacteria; Bacillati; Mycoplasmatota; Mollicutes; Mycoplasmatales; Mycoplasmataceae.
GCCAUUAUAGGCAAGUGGUAUACCGAUGCCUUGGUAAGGCAUUAUCACAAGUUCGAUUCUUGUUAAUGGCACCA